UAUUCUGCCCCACGGGGAAGGAUGAGAAGCUUCGACUAAGGUUCGACUCGAGCGAAGUGAGAGAACGUUGCCGCAGGCAACGGCCCGAAGGGCGAGGCGCUUUAGCGCCGAGUAAUCCUUCCCCCACCACCA
This 132-nucleotide small RNA is filed under the name Klebsiella pneumoniae. RNAcentral's name for it is "RtT sRNA". It matches the Rfam family "RtT RNA". Rfam says of the family: This family represents a bacterial cis-regulatory element known as RtT RNA. The exact function of RtT is unknown although it is thought that it may be involved in changing the cellular response in relation to amino acid starvation. The record is from RNAcentral. Lineage: Bacteria; Pseudomonadati; Pseudomonadota; Gammaproteobacteria; Enterobacterales; Enterobacteriaceae.